GGGGCGGCAGCUCAGUUGGGAGAGCACGUGACUGGCAGUCACGAGGCGUCGGAUCGACCUGUGCGUUUCGCGA
This 73-nucleotide transfer RNA is filed under the name Gammaproteobacteria bacterium. RNAcentral describes it as "tRNA-Ala". The record is from RNAcentral. Lineage: Bacteria; Pseudomonadati; Pseudomonadota; Gammaproteobacteria.